AAGUCGUAACAAGGUUUCCGUAGGUGAACCUGCGGAAGGAUCAUUAACACGUAUCCAACGUUAAACAACCCUGUGAACCUUGAACGUGCUCCUGCAGCCCCAUGAAAUCAGCAAUCCCUGGUAAAUCAUUGUUGACCAGCUUUUGAGUCAGGGACCUCUGCCGAAACGGCUGUUCAGUACCGAGCGCGGUGUAAGCGACCUGGCAUCCCCAAGCGAUCAGUGUCUGAAAGUGUCAUUGAUUGUGUAAGGAUGGCGCAGUAAACGAUUGCUAGAGGCCCACACGGCCGGCAACCCCUUUAUCACCCCACAGUUUCCGACUGGGCAGCCGAUAAUACGGACGCCGUAAAAAACUGAACAACUGUUAACAAUGGAUAUCUUGGUUCUC
Molecule: unclassified non-coding RNA, 385 nt
Filed under: fungal sp.
Lineage: Eukaryota; Fungi
Description: partial internal transcribed spacer region
Rfam family: Eukaryotic small subunit ribosomal RNA (bases 1-46)
Source: RNAcentral